Xenia sp. Carnegie-2017 is the source of this 276-nucleotide long non-coding RNA. RefSeq lists it as uncharacterized. The record is from RefSeq and is a predicted model, not a curated record. NCBI's taxonomy places the organism in Eukaryota, Metazoa, Cnidaria, Anthozoa, Malacalcyonacea, Xeniidae. The transcript is spliced from 4 exons.
AGAAGGUUUGUAUGGGUAAGGCUGAGAGGUGAAAAUUUAGUUUUGUAGGUGUGAUUGAUGCUGUAUUGGGUGAGUAAUUUGUAGGAGGUGAACCAGUAUGAUAUCCAGAGUCUGGAGAGUUAUAUAAGUUUAGGAGGACUUCUUGGCCAUUGAAGGAUGAAGACCAAGUUGGUUUAUCGAGAUUGAACAAUGAUAUUGAGUGAAGAACAGUUGUAGGAAAGUUGAAGGUUGCUCACUAAUGUUGAAGGAGUUGAUAAUUUGGACAGCUUCAUAUGG